This is a long non-coding RNA of Coturnix japonica (Japanese quail), 2981 nucleotides long. RefSeq lists it as uncharacterized. The record is from RefSeq and is a predicted model, not a curated record. NCBI's taxonomy places the organism in Eukaryota, Metazoa, Chordata, Aves, Galliformes, Phasianidae.
GGAGGGGAUCGGGGGGGGCCGCUCCCGGAGUGGGCAGAGAGUCCCGCUGCUCCCCCCAGCACACGAGGCCGGGCAGCACGGAGGGUAGGCAGGUUAUGGAUGUCACUUACAGAGAGACCAAGGCCAGCACCCAACUCCUGCCCAUCUGACAACGAGCUGCGACGGAAUUCAGAUGCUAAUUAGGAGCCGAGCUCCUCAAUGGGUCUUUAUUCGCACAGCUCCGGCUCCCUGCAGGCCGGCCAAUGGAGGAAGCUCGGCAGCGGCACGGAGAAGCGCCCCUUUCCCUCCUUCCCUCACCAUGAUGCUGUUAUCGGCUCAUCUCGGUUUUACUUGUUGACUUUUGAAGGCAAGAAAAAGGGAAGGAAGUCACACCGGAGCUGUGCCAUGGGAAUAAUCACCGUCGGGACCCACUUGAUGAGCAGGGACUGCAGGGGCCGUAGCAACGUGAAGAGAGGGGAGGACACAGGGUUGGUGCAGGGAUGCAGAGAUGGGCUGCAGGGAGGUGUGGAUGUUCCUGUGGGCGGGUAAAUACUGCCUGCAGAGAAAGAACGUCCCUAGGUUACAUACCGUGGUAAAACCCAAGCAAAACCAAAGCUGUUUGUCAUUUUGAGUAUUAUCAGUCAAGAUAGGGAAGCUGGGAAAAUCCACAUGUAAAGGUUAAAAGUUGCCUAAUCUUCACCAGUUUUAUACACCCCAGAAAAUAACUCUUCUCAGGCAGCACAAAGGAUUAGUUUUUCCUGGUUAGGACAGAGCCAUAGUACACACGAGGUAGGUGGGACCUAAUACAGCCUCUGAAGGAGAGUGUGGACGCGUGCUGCAGUGGAUUAGGGAAGAUCAUGGCUUGCUUCUGCCAGGUCUACAACCAACAGCAAGAGGUGGGUCAGAAAAGCAAAAGCAGCUCCAGCACUCAGGAAGAUGCACAGAGCGCUGCUGGUCUGUCCAUCAGCUGUAUCACUUGGGCACUGCAUCACUCGACAGGAGAAAACAGAGCAACCCCACACAGCCAGAGCAGUGUUACUGCAUGAGACAGGAGGCGGGGAUCACCAGGUCGGCAAACAGGAAAACAGUGAACUCUGCUGGUCACUGCUUCUGGGCUAAGACAGGCUUCAUCUCAUCACUCCACAUCACGGUCAGAUCUAUGGCUCAUUGGCUGCAGUGGGCUCCUCAUGCUGCCCUGCCUCAGUGCCUGGCAGCCCUCCAUGCCCGUGUCCCUGGAAGCUGCUCCUUGUCUGUCAUGAUGCUCCCAGGAAUAACGAGCUUGGCAAGGGCUGUGCGCUAGAACUGCACUGUUAUCUGUUCUGCUACACAGAUAACGCAGCACACUCCCCCCCCACCAGACACAGGCAUUCCCACUGUAAAGUAUUUGCAGAUUUACAGCUCAUUCUGCUUCUGGGAGGGAAUAAAGAAAUGCAGACCAGGCUAAUUGCAGUGGAUGCACAUGGACGCUUGCCCACCUCCCUCCUGGCAGGUGCAAUGCCCGAAGUGCCAAAGAGCUGCAAAUGUCCUGCCUGAGCCCAGACCCGGCCUUUAUAGCUCACCCAGAAGCAGCCUUCUUAGCUCACCCAGCACAGCCAGGUGGUUCUGGUUCAGAGCUGACCCAUGUCCACCACACUCAGUCAGGCAAAGCAUGCAGAUAGAUAAGGUGAGCAGCGUAAGGACUCCUUGCUGUAGCUGCAUUCCCUGAGGAUAUGACCACACAGCCAGUUCUUCCACGCUGCCAGAGAUGAAGGAUGCUCUGAGCAUAAGCUGUGAAUAACUCAGUGGUAUAAAGGAAAGGGUGAUAGAUUCAAACAGGACAGCAGCUUCAGAGACAAGGAAGGACUCAGUAUCUGCCUCUAUCUUCAGCAAAGUGUAGCAGCUUCUCACACUGGUUUCCAAACAGCCUUGACUCUUAGCAAACUUGAUAAGGAAAAUAGAAACAUGAGCUUCUGCCCAGCCUCUGCUGCAGAGCACUAUAUUCAGUGUAAUGAAUAAGGACAGAAGGGGUGAAAAGGAAGAAAGGAAAGGUGAAGUGUAACCAAAAAGCUUCUGGAUUUACUGAAAGCAGAAGGGAGCUGGAGGCUGGAUUAGCAAAGCAGUAAAAUGAAAAAAAAAUAGCAGAUAAUGAAUGUGGCCACGUUAUCUAAUAUGGUAGAACACACAGCAUGCAUAUUUAAUAGCAUUGUUUAGCUUGUGUUUAUCACAACUAGAGGCUGCUUCUUGUGCUAUGGGUAGGGACAGAAAGUUCAGUUCUAACUGAACUCUGGGGCUUCUGAGUUGCAUGUGGAGAUACUAACAGUUAAUAGCACUGGACUUCCAUAUAUUGCCCAUUUUCAGACCUCAGGUGAUGCAGUAAGUCAGCUGCUAGCAGCAUCUGAUGAAAGAUAAUCAGGUUUGCAGGCUAACUGUUAGAUCCUGAAUUAUACAUGCUUAUAUGCAAACACAAGGAACAUGCAGCGCGCCUAGAUGGCUGAGCUACAGCUGAGACAGGAAGGAUUCAUCUUACAGUGGAAUAAAUGGGAAACUUCUAUCUAGGAAAGAUGGAAAUGGACAGAUUGUACAGCAGUUGGACCAGGAGCAAGUUUUGUUUUGAAGCAGAGCUGUAGAGUUCCCCUACUGUAUCAGACCAGGCGUUUUUCCUGUGCUUAAUAGCAGUUACAUAUUUACAAAGAAGUCAUACGACCUUUAUUGUAACACUGGGAGAGUAAGCGUGUAGCAGACCCGCUUCCCUGUGUAAACACAGGAAGAUUUCUGUUUCCUAAGUGACCUAAGAGAGAAGUGGCCUUCAAUGUGCGUCUGAUCGAGGCUGCAUUCGACAGAUCAGACUUUAUCUAUCACUGAAUAUCACUGAAAACAGGAGUGUAAGAAACCAGACAGUGCGGCCCACUGCAAAGCUAUGCACUGCUGUGGAUCACAGCGUACAGCAGAGCCAACCCCAUUAUUCAGAUGCUGUAACGGAGACUAAAAAGGCCAGAGCAAUAAAGUAACACUUGGCAAACGAA